CAGUCUGCCUGCCUUGGCCUCCCAAAGUCCUGGGAUUACAGGCAUGAGCCACCGUGCCUGGCUUUCACAGGGUUUUAAAUUUUUAACUGGACGCUUAUAUAUGUUCAGGGCAUUCUGCCGUAAGUACUCUGUCCUGUUCUGUUCUUUGAAUUGUAUACCAGCAGCAAAUAAAAUAGAAGCUUCCAGCAUAUAACAGGCAUCCUCUCCAAUUUUCUUAUUUUAGCCAAUAAUGACAUACCAGUUGAAGAAAUCCAUUCUCCAUUUACAACAAUACUUUUGAGAACAUUUUUGAAUUAUCUCCUGCAUUUGGCGUACCACAUUUAUCACGAAGAAUUCCAAAAGAGAAGCCCGUCGCUCUUCUUGUGUUUUACAAAACUGAUGACCGAGAACAUUCGUCCAAAUGCCUGCCAGGUAAAAGGUGAAUACAAAACCAACAGGAUUAUAUUUACUGCCUUUUUUUUCCUCAAAAUAUAAAUCUGGGCUGGGCGCGGUGGCUCACUCCUGCAAUCCCAGCAUUGUGGGA
Molecule: long non-coding RNA, 523 nt
Filed under: Aotus nancymaae (Ma's night monkey)
Lineage: Eukaryota; Metazoa; Chordata; Mammalia; Primates; Aotidae
Description: lncRNA (ENSANAG00000039426.1)
Source: RNAcentral